UCCGUCAUGGCGCAGCUCUCUGAGCCGAGGCGGUGCGGGGUUCUCCUCGCCCUGCUGGCAUCGCUGCUCCUCUCCGGGGCUGGGGCGGCCGACGAAGAACGUGGCGUCCACGAUUUUUGCCACCUUCCCAAGAAAGUGGGAAGAUGCCGGGCCUCCUUCCCUCGGUGGUGGUACAAUGUCACUGACGGAUCCUGCCAGCAGUUUGUGUAUGGAGGCUGUGACAGGAAUGACAAUAAUUACAUGACCAAGGAGAAGUGUCUUGCUAAGUGUGCUGGUGUCACAGAGAACAACAUCGAUGAGCAGAUCAGGGAUAAAGCAGAUUCUUCCGUCCCAAGUGUUCCUAGAAGGCAGGAUUCUGAUGACCUCUCCGAUGAUAUUUUCAGCUAUGAAGAACACUGCAUUGCCAAGGCUGUCACUGGGCCUUGCUGAGCAGCCUUUCCGCGCUCGUACUUUAAUGCCGAGAAGAACUCUUGUGAUAACUUCAUCUACGGAGGAUGCCGGGGCAAUAAAAACAACUACCGCUCUGAGGAGUGCAUGCAGCAAUGCUUCGGCAAGCAGUUGUAACCUGCCCUGCCCUUCGGCAGUAAAGUGGUGGUCCUGGUGGGGCUGUUCGUGAUGGUCCUGAUCCUCUUGCUGGGAGCCUCUGUGGUCUGCCUGAUCAAGUUGGCGCGGAGGAACCAGGAGCGCACCCUCCGCACCGUCUGGAGCUCUGGGGAUGACAAGGAGCAGCUGGUGAAGAACUCUUACGUCCUGUGAACCCCCGUUGCCAAGGGGCUGCCCCCUUCCACCCCCUGUUGAUGAAGAGAAUCUGGAAAGGGAGGGGAGACGAGUGUUGAACGCAUGUGUGCUUUUUCAAAUAGAGUGAUUGAUUUGUAUUUGCGAGAUCAUUAGGGCUUUUGGUCUGUUUGUUCUUCCACAAGGUGAGAGGGCUGCUCCCUGGCCCCCCAGAUGGGUUUGCUUUAGAAGUCCUCUUAGUGAAGGGCUGUGCACAGUGCAGGUGGUCUGGCCUCCAUCCGAGUCGGUUCUUCUUCGAUUUCUUUCUUUGCUCCAGGUGUAGAUUUCUUUGCUUAUGUUGAAUCCUGUUGCCUCCUUUCCCAUCACAGAAGUGAUGUUUUCAGAGUUUGUUUGUUGUUGUAUUUUUUUAAGUAAGCAGAAACAUGUUUUUUUUUUAAUUAGGAUUCUGAAAGGAAGAAGGUAAAAUGUACAAGUUUAAUAAAAAGGGGCCUUUCCAUUUAAAAAAAAAAA
Molecule: non-coding RNA, 1245 nt
Organism: Odocoileus virginianus texanus
Lineage: Eukaryota; Metazoa; Chordata; Mammalia; Artiodactyla; Cervidae
Source: RefSeq, a predicted model, not a curated record